UGGGGAAUUUUGCACAAUGGGCGCAAGCCUGAUGCAGCGACGCCGCGUGAGGGAUGAAGGCCUUCGGGUUGUAAACCUUUUUCGCUCAUGGUCAAGCCGUAGCUUUGGGUUGUGGUGAGGGUAGUGGGUAAAGAAGCGCCGGCUAACUACGUGCCAGCAGCCGCGGUAAUACGUAGGGCGCGAGCGUUGUCCGGAAUUAUUGGGCGUAAAGGGCUUGUAGGCGGUUGGCCGCGUCUGCCGUGAAAUCCUCUGGCUUAACUGGGGGCGUGCGGUGGGUACGGGUUGACUUGAGUGCGGUAGGGGAGACUGGAAUUCCUUGUGUAGCGGUGGAAUGCGCAGAUAUCAGGAGGAACACCGGUGGCGAAGGCGGGUCUCUGGGCCGUUACUGACGCUGAGGAGCGAAAGCGUGGGGAGCGAACAGG
This 422-nucleotide ribosomal RNA is filed under the name Verrucomicrobiota bacterium. Its description in RNAcentral is "Verrucomicrobia bacterium partial 16S ribosomal RNA". It matches the Rfam family "Bacterial small subunit ribosomal RNA", at positions 355 to 776 of the family's 1533-position model. Lineage: Bacteria; Pseudomonadati; Verrucomicrobiota. The record is from RNAcentral.